Molecule: ribosomal RNA, 1969 nt
Filed under: Malacosporea sp. 2 HH-2014
Lineage: Eukaryota; Metazoa; Cnidaria; Myxozoa
Description: eukaryotic LSU rRNA
Rfam family: Eukaryotic large subunit ribosomal RNA
Source: RNAcentral
AAGCGGGGGAAGGAAACAACCGUGAUUCUAUUAGUAGCGGCGAGCGAACAGGGAAGAGCCCACGCUGAAUCUCUGCUUAUUAAUUUAAGCAGCGAAUUGUAGCGUAUGGGUAAUUGAUCUACUAAUCAUUAUGUUUACCAGUAAAGUUGUCUGGAAUGACAUGCCAAGGAGGGUGAUAGCCCCGUACCUGGCAUAAUGUUUAGCAAGGUCAAUUGCUCGAGAGUAGGACUGUUUGAGAAUGCAGUCUGAAAUGGGUGGUGAACUCCACCUAAGGCUAAAUACGGACACGAGACCGAUAGCACAAAAGUACCGUAAGGGAAAGGUGAAAAAGCACUCUGAAAAGAGAGUUAAAAGUGCUUGAAACCAACCGGGGGAAAAGGCUGAAGCAAUACCUCGUUACCGUUUAUGCCAAAAUAUAGUGUAAUCAAUUACAUUCGGGUAUAAUUGAUCUACAUUGUUUAGAUAGGAAUAAACGCUACGUGCGAGGCUAUGUAGCUCUAUUAACGCUAAUUAAUGGCUAUAGAAUUGAUAACUCUAUAAACUUAAUUAGUCUUCCUAAGAGUAAUAGAGUUGCAUAUGCAGUCACUAAGGGGUACAACAUAAUUAUUAGAUUACUCUCGAGUAUGUCUAGUUAUAUAUGUAUGAAGUUACUUUGUUGUUAGUAAUAAUCAUUUGUAGCUUCUGAUUGAUCAAUUCAUUUUUGUUUUGAUUGAUAGUUACAUUUGAUUUUAUUGAAAAUUUAGUAACUAAAUAGUACCACCAGUUCUCGUGCGAGAUGGUAGCUUCAGUCCCGUCUUGAAACACGGACCAAGGAGACCUACUGCUACGCGAGUCGAAGGGUGUAAAACCCAGAGGCGAAGCGAAAGCGAAAGGUGCCAACUGUUCAUAUGUUAGAAUAGUGCAGCACCGGCCUUCAUUAUUAUUCAUCUUGUAUGAUAAAAUGAUGAGCUAGAGCGUAGCGGCAAGGACCCGAAAGAUGGUGGAGCUAUGCCCGAGCAGGAUGAAGCCAGGAGAAAUCCUGUGGAGGUCCGUAGCGAUUCUGACGUGCAAAUCGAUCAUUAGACUCGGGUAUAGGGCGAUAGACCAAUCGACCAUCUAGUAGCUGGUUCCCUCCGAAAUAUCCCUCAGGAUCGCGGACAUCAUAUCGAUUGAUCAGUUUCAUCACGUAGGGAGAAUGAUUGGAGGUUUCGGGAACGCAAUGUUCUCGGCCUACUCUCAAACUUCGAAGUGGUGACAAGAGUAUGUUUCGGGCGUGAAUUGGGCUAAUUUAUAGUAUUGAGCAUACUCGGGAAUGAUCGAUGUCCAGUGGGCCAUUUUUGGUAAGCAGAACUGGCGAUCCGGGAUGAACCGAAAGUCGAGUUAAGGUGCCCAACUGAGAUUUAAUUGAUACCAUUAAAGGUGUCGGUCAAUGUAGACAGCAGGGCGGUGGCCAUGGAAGUCGGCAUCCGCUAAGGAGUGUGUAUUAACUCACCUGCCCAAUUGACCGGUCCUGAAAAUGGAUGGCGCUUAAUAUUUCGACCGAUACUCGGCCGUUUGAGAUGACUACUCAAACGGGUAGGGGGGCACAACGGUAGUUGAGAAGGAUCAACGUGAGUUGGUCUGGAACUGCCGUUGGAGCUGAUCUUGGUGGUAGUAGCAACUAUUCGGGUGGGAACCUCGAAGUCCGAGGUGGAGACGGGUUCCAUGUCAAUUGUAGUAAGACAUGGGUUAGUCGGUCCUAAGUGACUCCCGAAGGGGUUUAAAGACAGGCAUCGAUUUUUAACUGUCAGUCACGAAAGGGAACCAGGUUAAUAUUCCUGGACCAGAUAUUGGAAUUUUGGCUAGUUGUCCAAUAUUAGAGCAUUUGACUUGUCAAGUGUUUUAGUAUUGGUUUGUUGAAUAGGAAACUGUUUAACAUUCAAAACAACCUGUCAAUAAGCGGUAACGCGACCUAACUGAGCGAUGUCGGACGUAGCCAGAGGAAGAGUUU